This 1218-nucleotide long non-coding RNA is filed under the name Equus caballus (horse). RNAcentral describes it as "lncRNA (ENSECAG00000051706.1)". The record is from RNAcentral. Lineage: Eukaryota; Metazoa; Chordata; Mammalia; Perissodactyla; Equidae.
UAUUGAUCAACAUUAACCAUGCACCAUCAAAUACACUUCUCAUCUUUGCUACUUUCUUCACAGUAAUGAUAGGAGCAGAUCAUUUUAAAUCUUCAAAGACUGACAGCUGAGGGUUUUGAGAGACUCAUUCACUGGCUUCUUUCUAAAAAUUUUAUUCUCAUUUUUUCUAACUCAGUCUAUGAGACCUUAGGUGAAAACCUAAAUACGAAAACCUACAUUUGAGAAGAGCAUACAAAAAUCCCCCAUAAUACCCUCAACUAUCCUAAUUUUAAAAACUCAUCAAACAUACGGUUCUCAUACUUAGUGUCCAUCAGGAUCACUUGUGGGGGGCUUGUUAAAACACAGACAACUGAGCCCCACUUCCAGCAUUUCCAAUCCAGUAGAUCAGGUGAGAGCCCUACAAUUUGCAUCACUACCAAGUCCCCAGUGAGGCUGAUGUGGCUGGUCUGGGGACCACACUUUGAGAAUCACUGCACUAAACGGUUAUACUGAGUGCCUACUACAUCACAAGUACCGUCCCAGGUGCAUGGAGGUGGCAGUGAACAAGACAGAGAGAGUAAACAGACAUGGGACAACAAGCAAGUAACCAAGUGAGCAGAAUUUUCUGGCAGCUCUAUGGAGUAAAUAUUACCUCUUCUGGGUGAUGGUGCAUGAACCGUUCUCAGUUUCCAAAGUGCAGUUAAAUCUGUCUGAUCCAAGGCAGAAGCACGGUCCUUGUUUCAGGUCACAGUAAAACCCAAGCUAUGGAAAAAAAAUAACCCCUGCAAGCAAGAAACAGUAAAGAAAAUAAGGAAAGAAACAAGCAUCUCAAAGAACCAGGCUAUUCCUUGUAGAGGUGGCAGAGCAUCUACCUGAUGAUGGAUCGGGCCCCUGGGAGGCAUCCAUCACUUCUAAUCCUGGGCUCUGCGAGAGGAAAUGAACCUCGCAUGCAUAAAUUAGUGAAAGGCAUGAUAGUGAUUCGUGUUCCUUUUGCAAUUUCCUCUUCUAUACAGCCGCUUAUGCAGAUUGAACAAGAUGUCACUGUUACAUUAGGAACAAAGUGAGACACAAAAAUUAGUAAAAAUGAAAACUUAUUCUGGAUUUGGUCAACCUCUAGCUAAAGACUUCCCUCAGGGAAAAGACUCCAUGAAAGAGAGGAACUGUUAUUUUAAUUCUGAUAUUUAAUGAUAUUACAAAAGUCAUCCUGAAGUUGUUAUGGGAAAGAGAAAAGAAAAAAAU